This 1947-nucleotide ribosomal RNA is filed under the name Escherichia coli. RNAcentral's name for it is "partial 23S ribosomal RNA". It matches the Rfam family "Bacterial large subunit ribosomal RNA", at positions 165 to 2136 of the family's 2925-position model. Lineage: Bacteria; Pseudomonadati; Pseudomonadota; Gammaproteobacteria; Enterobacterales; Enterobacteriaceae. The record is from RNAcentral.
CAUAGGUUAAUGAGGCGAACCGGGGGAACUGAAACAUCUAAGUACCCCGAGGAAAAGAAAUCAACCGAGAUUCCCCCAGUAGCGGCGAGCGAACGGGGAGCAGCCCAGAGCCUGAAUCAGUAUGUGUGUUAGUGGAAGCGUCUGGAAAGGCGCGCGAUACAGGGUGACAGCCCCGUACACAAAAAUGCACAUGCUGUGAGCUCGAUGAGUAGGGCGGGACACGUGGUAUCCUGUCUGAAUAUGGGGGGACCAUCCUCCAAGGCUAAAUACUCCUGACUGACCGAUAGUGAACCAGUACCGUGAGGGAAAGGCGAAAAGAACCCCGGCGAGGGGAGUGAAAAAGAACCUGAAACCGUGUACGUACAAGCAGUGGGAGCACGCUUAGGCGUGUGACUGCGUACCUUUUGUAUAAUGGGUCAGCGACUUAUAUUCUGUAGCAAGGUUAACCGAAUAGGGGAGCCGAAGGGAAACCGAGUCUUAACUGGGCGUUAAGUUGCAGGGUAUAGACCCGAAACCCGGUGAUCUAGCCAUGGGCAGGUUGAAGGUUGGGUAACACUAACUGGAGGACCGAACCGACUAAUGUUGAAAAAUUAGCGGAUGACUUGUGGCUGGGGGUGAAAGGCCAAUCAAACCGGGAGAUAGCUGGUUCUCCCCGAAAGCUAUUUAGGUAGCGCCUCGUGAAUUCAUCUCCGGGGGUAGAGCACUGUUUCGGCAAGGGGGUCAUCCCGACUUACCAACCCGAUGCAAACUGCGAAUACCGGAGAAUGUUAUCACGGGAGACACACGGCGGGUGCUAACGUCCGUCGUGAAGAGGGAAACAACCCAGACCGCCAGCUAAGGUCCCAAAGUCAUGGUUAAGUGGGAAACGAUGUGGGAAGGCCCAGACAGCCAGGAUGUUGGCUUAGAAGCAGCCAUCAUUUAAAGAAAGCGUAAUAGCUCACUGGUCGAGUCGGCCUGCGCGGAAGAUGUAACGGGGCUAAACCAUGCACCGAAGCUGCGGCAGCGACGCUGAUGCGUUGUUGGGUAGGGGAGCGUUCUGUAAGCCUGCGAAGGUGUGCUGUGAGGCAUGCUGGAGGUAUCAGAAGUGCGAAUGCUGACAUAAGUAACGAUAAAGCGGGUGAAAAGCCCGCUCGCCGGAAGACCAAGGGUUCCUGUCCAACGUUAAUCGGGGCAGGGUGAGUCGACCCCUAAGGCGAGGCCGAAAGGCGUAGUCGAUGGGAAACAGGUUAAUAUUCCUGUACUUGGUGUUACUGCGAAGGGGGGACGGAGAAGGCUAUGUUGGCCGGGCGACGGUUGUCCCGGUUUAAGCGUGUAGGCUGGUUUUCCAGGCAAAUCCGGAAAAUCAAGGCUGAGGCGUGAUGACGAGGCACUGCGGUGCUGAAGCAACAAAUGCCCUGCUUCCAGGAAAAGCCUCUAAGCAUCAGGUAACAUCAAAUCGUACCCCAAACCGACACAGGUGGUCAGGUAGAGAAUACCAAGGCGCUUGAGAGAACUCGGGUGAAGGAACUAGGCAAAAUGGUGCCGUAACUUCGGGAGAAGGCACGCUGAUAUGUAGGUGAAGUCCCUCGCGGAUGGAGCUGAAAUCAGUCGAAGAUACCAGCUGGCUGCAACUGUUUAUUAAAAACACAGCACUGUGCAAACACGAAAGUGGACGUAUACGGUGUGACGCCUGCCCGGUGCCGGAAGGUUAAUUGAUGGGGUUAGCGCAAGCGAAGCUCUUGAUCGAAGCCCCGGUAAACGGCGGCCGUAACUAUAACGGUCCUAAGGUAGCGAAAUUCCUUGUCGGGUAAGUUCCGACCUGCACGAAUGGCGUAAUGAUGGCCAGGCUGUCUCCACCCGAGACUCAGUGAAAUUGAACUCGCUGUGAAGAUGCAGUGUACCCGCGGCAAGACGGAAAGACCCCGUGAACCUUUACUAUAGCUUGACACUGAACAUUGAGCCUUGAUG